RNAcentral lists this unclassified non-coding RNA (202 nucleotides) under Hevea brasiliensis (rubber tree). Lineage: Eukaryota; Viridiplantae; Streptophyta; Magnoliopsida; Malpighiales; Euphorbiaceae. The record is from RNAcentral.
CGGGAGCCUCUUUGGUGGAUUGGGAUGGUAACUAUGAUUGUUGGAGAAUUUGCAAAUUUCGUGGCUUACAUUUAUGCGCCAGCAGUUCUUGUGACACCGCUUGGAGCUUUAAGUAUAAUUGUGAGUGCUGUUCUAGCACAUUUCAUACUGAAGGAAAAAUUGAAGAAACUGGGAGUAUUAGGAUGUCUUUUAUGUAUAGUAG